UGCGAAUGGCUCAUUAAAUCAGUUAUCGUUUAUUUGAUAGUACCUUACUACAUGGAUAACCGUGGUAAUUCUAGAGCUAAUACAUGCUAAAAACCUCGACUUCGGAAGGGGUGUAUUUAUUAGAUAAAAAACCAAUGCCCUUCGGGGCUCCUUGGUGAAUCAUAAUAACUUAACGAAUCGCAUGGCCUUGCGCCGGCGAUGGUUCAUUUCAAUUUCCUGCCCCUAUCAACUUUCGAUGGUAGGAUAGUGGCCUACCAUGGUAUCAACGGGUAACGGGGAAUUAGGGUUCGACUCCGGAGAGGGAGCCUGAGAAACGGCUACCACAUCCAAGGAAGGCAGCAGGCGCGCAAAUUACCCAAUCCCGACACGGGGAGGUAGUGACAAUAAAUACUGAUACAGGGCUCUUUUGGGUCUUGUAAUUGGAAUGAGUACAAUUUAAAUCCCUUAACGAGGAACAAUUGGAGGGCAAGUCUGGUGCCAGCAGCCGCGGUAAUUCCAGCUCCAAUAGCGUAUAUUAAAGUUGUUGCA
RNAcentral lists this ribosomal RNA (528 nucleotides) under Cladosporium salinae. Its description in RNAcentral is "SSU rRNA". It matches the Rfam family "Eukaryotic small subunit ribosomal RNA", at positions 88 to 617 of the family's 1831-position model. The record is from RNAcentral. Lineage: Eukaryota; Fungi; Ascomycota; Dothideomycetes; Cladosporiales; Cladosporiaceae.